AGGAAUGUAGCUCAGUGGUAGAGUAUGUGCCUCAGAUGUAUAAAACCCUGGGUUUGAUGCCUGGCACCACUA
Molecule: transfer RNA, 72 nt
Filed under: Erinaceus europaeus (western European hedgehog)
Lineage: Eukaryota; Metazoa; Chordata; Mammalia; Eulipotyphla; Erinaceidae
Rfam family: tRNA
About the family: Transfer RNA (tRNA) molecules are approximately 80 nucleotides in length. Their secondary structure includes four short double-helical elements and three loops (D, anti-codon, and T loops).
Source: Rfam by way of RNAcentral